UGAACGCUGGCGGCAGGCCUAACACAUGCAAGUCGAGCGGCAGCACGGUACUUGUACCUGGUGGCGAGCGGCGGACGGGUGAGUAAUGCCUAGGAAUCUGCCUGGUAGUGGGGGAUAACGUUCGGAAACGAACGCUAAUACCGCAUACGUCCUACGGGAGAAAGCAGGGGACCUUCGGGCCUUGCGCUAUCAGAUGAGCCUAGGUCGGAUUAGCUAGUUGGUGAGGUAAUGGCUCACCAAGGCGACGAUCCGUAACUGGUCUGAGAGGAUGAUCAGUCACACUGGAACUGAGACACGGUCCAGACUCCUACGGGAGGCAGCAGUGGGGAAUAUUGGACAAUGGGCGAAAGCCUGAUCCAGCCAUGCCGCGUGUGUGAAGAAGGUCUUCGGAUUGUAAAGCACUUUAAGUUGGGAGGAAGGGCAGUUACCUAAUACGUAAUUGUUUUGACGUUACCGACAGAAUAAGCACCGGCUAACUCUGUGCCAGCAGCCGCGGUAAUACAGAGGGUGCAAGCGUUAAUCGGAAUUACUGGGCGUAAAGCGCGCGUAGGUGGUUCGUUAAGUUGGAUGUGAAAUCCCCGGGCUCAACCUGGGAACUGCAUUCAAAACUGUCGAGCUAGAGUAUGGUAGAGGGUGGUGGAAUUUCCUGUGUAGCGGUGAAAUGCGUAGAUAUAGGAAGGAACACCAGUGGCGAAGGCGACCACCUGGACUGAUACUGACA
RNAcentral lists this ribosomal RNA (721 nucleotides) under Pseudomonas sp. Its description in RNAcentral is "bacterial SSU rRNA". It matches the Rfam family "Bacterial small subunit ribosomal RNA", at positions 30 to 745 of the family's 1533-position model. The record is from RNAcentral. Lineage: Bacteria; Pseudomonadati; Pseudomonadota; Gammaproteobacteria; Pseudomonadales; Pseudomonadaceae.